AUGGAGUACCAGCCCAUCAUCAGUGCGCUGGACAUCCGCACCGAACCCAUCACAGUUGAUCUGCUCUUCUCCCUCGUAGCCAAUUUUGAUCAGCGGGUGGAGAUGUUCCAUGCCAAUGGUAACGGUGGCUUCAAGUCAUCGGCGAACGCCGCUACCAGAGGCCAGCAGGGAGGAAACAAGGGCGGCUACAACCGAAACCAGAAAGGUGGUGGUGGCGGACCUCGCAGCGGCGGCUACAACGGUGCCCGUGGCAGCGGCUACCAAGGCCGUGGCGGCAGCGGCUACACCGGCGCUGGUGGCAGUGGCUACCACAACGGUGGUUCUGGUGGUGGCUACGGCGGCAGCUACCAACAGAAUCAUGGUGGCGGCUACCAAGGGGGUGGUGGUGGUGGCGGCUAUAAUCACCCCAACUCCGGCGGCGGCAACAACCAGCGGCGACCCAACAACAGGGGGCGCAAUUCAGGGGUAUGA
This 471-nucleotide ribosomal RNA is filed under the name Triticum aestivum (bread wheat). RNAcentral describes it as "partial small subunit ribosomal RNA". The record is from RNAcentral. Lineage: Eukaryota; Viridiplantae; Streptophyta; Magnoliopsida; Poales; Poaceae.